UGAACAUGGCCCCAUCACUUUUCUCUCAAAUCCCAUUCUUUGCCAUGCGAGCCACCCGAGAUCUGGAGGGAGAGCAGCGUCCCCUUCUCUCCUUCACCACCAAUGAAGCUCUCCGGCCUCUUUUCCUUUCCCUAUCAAAUCUAGCAGUCCCAGCCGGCCAAAACUCCCCUUCCCGACCAGCCCCAGCCAACCUCCCCUUCCUCCUCCCUAGUGCAACCGUCUCCCCUUGUUCCUAGCCACCUGAGAUCCGGCUGAAUCCAUAAGCCACUCAUCUCCUAGCAAGCCGGCCACCCUUCCCUCCCAAACCCGUACAAUGACCACGAGCCCAGCCGAGGGGACGCUCGCCCAUCCCACCACGGCGUGGGUCGCUGGGUGCCGUCUCCAUCGUCCUCCUCUGAUGCGGGAGGUCGUCGUCUCCCACGACCAUGGCGACAUGCGCUAUCCCCGCUACGGGUAGCAGUGUGUCGACGCGCCGAGGUCGUCAGCUCCGGGAUGGAUUCUCCACUGGUCUGUGGUGCGGGUCAUCCUCGAGUUGCAGGAGGAGAGGAAGAGCUCCCGGAUCCCCCUCUUUAUUAGCCCUUCUCCUCCAUGGCGGUCAGGCUUACCCAUCGUUAUCCGCUCGAUGUUGCCUCUGCCCCAUGGCCUGAUGGUGGUGUGAAUUUUUCUUGUACACCCUUUGUUCAAGCUACUUGCAGCAAUCCACACUUUUCUUUGCAAUUGUUUGAACUUUGUAUCCUCUUUUGUAACCAGAAAAUUUUGGCCCGGCCGAGACAAUGAAACCACAUUUACUCUGUAGACACUUUUGGCUGCAUUCCACAGGCCUUUUCAGCUGCAAAAACGAGUUCCUCACGCGCCGCAGUUCAUUUAUCUAUCCGAACGGUGCCGAACCAUGUUCAUUUAGCUAGACGAAAAUGGAAAGAUUUAAAUGCCCAUACCGCCCUUGGCAGCUCAGAACUUUUAAUUAGUAAAUGACCACCAUCAGCCAAUGCAGAAGUUUGCCCGAAGUAGCUCCCUGGCGACCAUGGCCGGUUGAGAAAGACGCAACAUUUUUUGCUCUUACUGCAUCUGAAAACUCGGACGCUAGGUUGCCAUUUCGGGGCUACACCUCCAUAAAGGUUCAGCUGAGCUUUCCUCUUGCGUCAUGGCGAAAUUCAGCAAUUCAGAACCUUAUCCACCCAAAGGUGCGGAUCUCAAAGAGCAUGGACGGUUCCGAUAACAUCCACCCUAGUUAUUGUGGAUAGCAAAUCCAUGCUCUCUCUCUCUCUCUCUCUCUCUCUCUCUCUCUAUAUAUAUAUAUAUAUAUAUAUAUAUAUAUAUAUAUAUAUAUAUAUAAACACUAUUCUGAUCGCGGGAUCAGAAUAAUAUUCUAAUCACAACCUGAACUGCCUGAGUUACGCGCCUGAACUUCCCUCUAUACGAACCCGGCCUUCGUGCUAUCUUCGCAAACGUGCCUUUCCCCGCGAAUUAUUCUGGUCGGUCGUAUUGUUUGCGAUGUAAGUGUAAUCCGUAAACAGUUUUUAGCAACUAAAUGCUCGUUUUAAAUAGGAAUUCCGGUCAUUAGCGAAUUUGCUCUCGGGGUUGUGAUGAACUUGCGUCUGUUACAAGUUUAAUGCAUGUUGUGGAUGUUGUCGAAGCUCUGGCAUGAUGGGAAUUAGGUUUUGGUACGAGUUUGGUUUACAAAUUCUUGUUAUUUCAAACAAUUUUGAAAUCACCCGUGUUCUUCAUCUGCCCGAGACGCAGCCUGCGCUUCCGUUGAUUUCUCUUUUUUUGUAAAGUUUGCUGGCUGAUUUGCGUACUUUAGUGAAAUUCAAGGCUUACUAAGUCGUUAAUUUUAAUCGGGAUGGUCCAUACGGUUUGAUUUCUAGCGAUUUGAUGUUGGCACUCCCGCGGCUUUUUGCACACGUUAUUUUUGCGGUUUUGAAAUUUGCCCUCUGGUCAUUUUGUUGUCGAAAGGGAGUUGCCAGAUCAUUUUCAAGGGGGUGCGGACGUGUUGUAAUCUUGCGGAGAUGGUUUUAUGCUUCGGACGAAUUCGUUCGUUCUUUAUUUCUAGAUCAUCUAAUGGUCGUUGUACAAGCUGGACUUCUGCGUUUGCCAUACCUGAACUUCUGCUUUUCCUUCGUUGGAUCCUGUAGGGGCUGGGGCGGCUCAGGAUCGGGAUCAGGGGAUCAGGUGGAUCCUGUCGGGGCGGCCUCGGGAUCAGGUGGAUCCUGUGGGUCGGGCCGGGUUUCUGUGCUGGACUUCUGCGUUGUCAUACUUGAACUUCUGCUUUUCCUUCGUUGCAAGGUAAUGCAGCAAGUCCUCUAUAUUUCUUUCCUUUUUUCCUGUCAUUUUUCAUUCUUGCUUUGUUUUGAUUGUUUUUUACUAAGUCCCAUGAGCGACCAUGGAAUUAAUUGGCCGAUGGAUAUGCAUAUAUUUUUCUUUUUUUUCUAGUUUGUUUUCGUUCUUCUAAUAUUUUGUUGGACUUCACUUAAUAUCUAUCCUGAACUUCUGUAUGCUAAUUGUUUUUAACAUGUUAAUUUGAGGUUUUACAAAACCCCGGACUUCUAUAACAUCACUAUUUGAACUUCUUUUUAUUUUUAAUUAUGUUUGUUGUUUUAAUUACUUAUUUUAAUCUAUCUUCGGGGAUAUUUUUUGGAUCAUCUAAGGUCUGUAGUCAAAGUUGGACUUCUAUUGUACCAGUGAUUGAACUUCUGGAUUUCCACAUUUCAAGGUGGUGCAACAUUGUGCUCUAUAUUUAUAUGUUUGUUUUUUUUGUAAUUUUCAAUUUUUGAAUUUGGUUUUGAGUUUGUCCCGUGUGCAACCAUGGGAUUAGUCCCAAGUAUGCAUGCAUACUUUUUUUUGUAACAUGUUUGCAUACUUCGAAUAGCGGUAGAACUUCGGUAGGUAUUUAACCUGAACUUAGUAGAAUUUUGGUCCUGUAUAAUCUGCUUUUUUACAUGUACAUAUGAUGUUUUUUCAAACCCCCGAACUUCUGUGUCUUUACAAUUUGAACUUCAUCAAUAAUUUUUGAUAAAUUUUUUUGGGUUUAAAGCAUUGCGUCCUGUCAAAACCUAGUGCAGCAAUGUGGUAGCGCGAGGCCGAGCAGGGGGAGGGACCCCCUCCCCUCCCCUUGCGAGGCCGAGACAGGAAUGAGCCAGAGCAGGCGAUGACGCGGCGUGCCGCGUCAUCGCAUGCGGAGGCGAGUCCAUCACAUCCGUGAUCCCACUAUCUAUCUUAGGGGUGUGGCUCUGGGGUGCGUGCGGUGGGGAUGGAAACAAAAUAACCGGAUUGCGUCCUAUCAAAACCUAGCGCGCAUCAAUGCGGUAGCGCGAGGCCGAGCAGGGGGGAGGGGGUCGGGACCUCCCCUCCCCUCCCCCUGCGAGGCCGAGACAGGAAAGAGCCGGAGCAGGCGACGACGUGGCGUGCCACGUCGUCGCAUGCGGAGGCGAGUCCGUCACAUCCGUGACCCCCAGUAUCUAUCUUAGGGUGUGGCUCUGGGGUGCGUGCGGUGGGGGUGGAAACAGAAUAUCCGCAUUACACCUGUCAACCUAGCGUGCACCAACGCGGUAGUGCGAGGCUGAGCCGGGGGAGGGGGAAGGACCCCCUCCCCCCCUGCGAGGCCGAGACAGGAACGAGCCGGAGUAGGCGAUGACGCGGCGUGCCACGUCAUCGCAUGCGGAGGCGAGUUCAUCACAUCCGUGACCCCACUAUCUAUCUUAGGGGUGUGGCUCUGGGGUGCAUGCGGUGGGGUGGAAACAGAAUAACCGCAUUACGUCCUGUCAAAACCUAGCGCGCAGUAAUUCGGUAGUGCGAGGCCGAGCCGUAUGUACUUUGUGUGUAUUUGAAUUUUGAACUUCUAUAUUUUUUCUAAGUUGUGUAUUUUAGUUAGAUAUGGACUUCAUCUGUUUUUGUAUUUGAACUUCUUCUUAUUGUUUCUUAGUGUUUAUUUAUUCAUAUGCCUUGACUUCCUUGAUUAGUGUACUUGAACUUCUGUUCUUUAUUUUGUGAACUUCUUUCUCUUGUUUUUGUAGGUGCAUAUUUGUGUAUGUAUUUUUCUUCCCUUUGUAGUGUAUUUGCCAUCAAUUUUUGGUUUUAAGGAUACCAGCAGUGUUGUUGUGCGAUCUUAUCUUUUUAUAAUAGAUGCAUUCAAAUGGUGCAUUCAUUUAUCAAUAAAUGCAUUUACUUGUUUAGUUGUUGGGGGUAAAACUGUAAUUAGCCCGGCGCUCCAACACCCCACUACAGGGAGGCAUUAAGUGCCCGACUCCCUUUCAGAAAUCCCCCCUGUCUCUCGCUCUCUUCUCCCUCUCUGACGCUCCGCUGCUCUCGUCUCCUCCAACCUCCCCCGACUUCUCCGCGGCUGUCCCCUGCGCUCGUGUGUGGAGUAACCGCCGCGCGCCAUGCUCCUAUUUCUCCCCCAUGCCCCGCUCUCCCUCGCCCAGUCCGUGCUCUUCUCCUCUGAAGCGAAGCCGCAACUGCCUGCGCGGUUCCAAAGUGCGCGUGGCGUCGUGGGGGUGGAAGAACCACCGCGGAUUCGUGCGUGCGGGGGUCGUUUGGAGAGGUACAAAUGCUGCCUCCCCCUAAUGCUUACUCUUAGUUUCGUCAGAUCUGUCGAGGCCUAUAUGUUUGUUCUGUGUGCUCUCGCAUCUGCCUCCUACCCCUUCUUCUGAUGGUUGGGUUGGAGAUUAGGUAGGGUUCUUGUGCGUGUGGUGGGUGGAUUCCAUUCCCCGUGGUUAGAUUUGUCUGUGAGAUGCUUGUGUGUGCUAUUUCUCCCUUCAGACUUGUGUGGAUUUCAGUUCCCCUUUGGUGAUUUCAGCAGUCAGAUGCAUGUAAGAGAGGGUUUGGUGUGAUGGUUGAUGCUAGAUCUGAUGUAUCUAAUUGCAUUAGUGUUGUUGAUUUCGAAGUCUAGACUGUGUCUAUGACAUGCUAGUUAGUUUAUGGAUACUAUUUUUGUUGUGCUUGCGUAGAUGUGCUACUAUUCAUCUUUGCAUACUUGUUGGUAUGUUCUAGUUGUUUCAUCCUAGGAAUGAUUUAGUUGCUUUUUGUAUUGGUUGUAUGAUUUUCUACUUGCUAACUAUAUGCAAGCUAUCCCCUGUUUUUAGUAGGUUGUUUUAGGGUUUGGAGUUCCAUUCAUCAAGGGGUUGUGUUGUCAUGGGUUCAAAACCUUCUCCAGGUAUUUUUAAUGUAGUUGGAUCUUGUAUUUUAAAUAGCAGUUUUCUUAUAGAUGUUUGUCCAUAUCUUCACUUAGUUGUCUUGUUGGACUUCCCUUUCUUACUAGUGUGAACUUCUAACAAAGGUCAUGUGUAUGCAUUUUACCCUUAGUUUAAGUUAGUACAGUGUUGCUUAAUUUUUAUUUUGAUGAAUUGCUAGUGAACUAUGUCACCAAGUGUUGUUGGACUUCCCAAAUGUUUCAUAUUUAUAGUGUAUAUCUUUUUUUUCUUUUUUUGUGAUCAUUUUCAUGGUAUUGAUAUUUAGUUUGCCUGUGAAAUAGUAAUUCUGCUCAUGCUACAUAUUUCAUAUGUGCUACUUCCUUGGGUCACAUAGUUGAACUUCUGGUUUUCAUUAUCGUUUGUUUAUAAUGAAAUUUGGUUGAACUUCUCUUCUGCGCAUUUGUUUUACUGCUUUGUUAUAUAUUUUUGAACUUCUGGACAUUCAUCUUUUAUGUAGUACCCCCUCUGGUGUAGAUUGUUCUAUAUUUAGUAUGUAAAUUGUAGAUUGUUUAUUGUGUUUACUGCUUUGUUAGGUAUUGUUGAACUUCUGGGUAUUAGACAUUGAUGUAAAAGUAGAUCUCCCUUUGGUGUAGGAUUGCGGAUUAGAACUCAACUGCCUUUUUACUUGCAUUUUUGUGUAGUUGGUGAUGAAUUGAAUAGUUCUGAAAAAAUGCCUGCGAUCAAGAUGGAGCUUCAGAAGUUAAUACUGAUGCUCCAAGAUCUGAUGCGGCUAAAUCACCUCUUAUUCCUUUGACUGUGAUUGCUGAGGUUGCUUCGAGCCUUGAGAAUAAUUCAAGCCUCGAUGAUCUUGCUUCUGCACCUCUUGCUUCACCUAGUAUGUGCAACUCCUUUUCUUUUUAUUUUAAAUUCUCGAGCCAUGUUUUUUUAACUUGUUCCUGUUGUGUGUUUUUGUUUUUGUUCCUGACUAUUUUUCUUUUUUUCUAUGCUUUUUGUGUUCUUGCAGAUGUGUCCAUAGAGGAGGAAGCUAUGAACACCAUCAACGAUGUUCUAUCUGAGAUGGGUUUAUCAGAAAACACUAUUGCUGCCGAGCAGGGGGCUCCGUCAGUCGAAGGUUGUGAUUCCGUUCCGGAUCCUUUGUGCUCUCUUCAGAUGUCAGAGACGCAGUCGCAGUCUGUUGAUGGCACUGAACCUGUCACGCAACCUGAGGAUGUGCCUCUUCAGCUUCUUCUAGAGGACCAACGCAAGAGGAAGAAGCAAGAAGAUUUUGACAAGAAGAUGGUGGCCCGCCUUCAGAAAGGUUCUGAUGUUCCUGAAUCUGUUGAUGUUGCCGAGCUCAUGGUUGGGCAUUGCUCUGUUGCUGAGGAAGACAUGCCGUGUGGCACUGAUGGCAUGGUUGUCCCUGUGAAGAAGAAAAUCAAGAAGACCGCUGCGAGGAAGCAUUUAGUUGGUGAAGUUACUCCUCAGAGGAGCCCACGUGUUUCAAGGGAUGCAGAACCUGCUGAAGAGGAAGGGCUAGCCCUCGGUGGUACGCCACGUCGUAGUCCUCGUGUACUUGCCACUACGACGCCUACACCUUCUUCGCUUGGUGCUGGUGCAUCUGGUAAGGGGAAGAAAUGCGGCGUUAAGUGCAAGGUUGCACUUGCAAAGGUCAACAAGGGUGUCAAGAAGCGUUCUCGUGUUAAUCCAGAGGUCAAGGAUGAUGCUAAUUUCAACGCUGAUGACGAGGAUGACGAUGAUGAUGAUGCCGCUAAUCAGGUAUGAAUCUCUCAUGUUUACUGCUUUUGAGACAUUUGUACAUUUGUUGUAGUUUUUGUGUUUGUAGCAAUGCCUUGGCAUACAUAGCUGACCUUCUGCUUCAUAUAGACGAAUAAAUUAGCUGAACUGCUUGGCUUAUAUGGUAUUACUGCCUUUGUGUACAUAGGUGAACUUCUGGAUAUAUACAUAAGAAAUUAGCUUAACUUCUUGGUAUACAUGUUUUAUUACUGCCUUGGUGUACAUAGUUGAACUUCUGAUAUGUAAAUUUCUAACAUUUUGAAAGCAUGUUAACUUCUGGUCAUACAUGGUUGUACUGCCUAUGUAGACAUAGUUAGACUUCUAAAAUGUACUGCGUAUGUAGGCAUUAGUGGAAUUUUGGUGUAGUUUGUGUAUCUCAUUGUUCUGCCUUUUUUCCUUGCCAUUGUAUUUUUUCAGUAUCGGCUUGUGGAGCGGCCUGAGAGGAGGAAGAGAGGAGGCAAAGCGCCCGAAGAAGGUGACGAAGGAGGAGAUGAGGCGAAACGUUUUAACAAGAUGGUUCGCUGCUCACUGAAAGAGGUCAGGACGUGUGCGAAAAUGCUACAACUUAGGCACAAGACGAGGGUUAUCAAGGCUGGUUUUGGUUGUGUGUUUGACUUGAAGGUUGAUUCCAACAUUUCUCGUCCUUUGAUGGGCAACAUCUACACAAGGAUUGGCCCUACAACCAUGAUUCUGGACAUGGGUGAGGCAAACAAGGUUCUGCGGAUUACAAGUGAUGCUAUUCACCAACUUUUUGGAUUCCCUCAAGGUGAUCGUACCCCUCCUAGGCCCUCGAAUGAUGGGUUUGAUGAUGCCGUUAUGAGGCUGAAGGGCAAACUUAGCUACGCUAGGAGUGACGAAAUCAAGACAAAGGAUCUGCGGAAUAUCCUCGGGGAACUUGUGAAGGAUGAGACGAAGGAUGAUCUGGCUCUGCAGGUGUUUUACCUGAUUCUUUUCAUGAAGGUGGUUAUUCCUGGUACGUCUACACGAAUGUCCAGGGAGGCAGCAAUGGCUGAGAAUCUUGUCUUUGAAGAUAUGGCAGAUAUGGACUACUGCCAGUUGGUUGUUGAUGAUAUUCGAAGGGCUGUUGUUAGGUAUCAGCAAGGGACUAGCAGAGGAAAAGCUGUCACAGGCUGUGCCGUCACACCGCUUCUUAUGUAUCUGGACUGCCUUAUCAUUGGCAAGACGUCUAAUCCUGACUUGAGGACUCCUCGCAUCAAUUUCAUGGAUCAGGCCAAGCUUCUUGAGCUUGCUGCGGCUGACUUGGUCAAGAAGGGUGAUGAUGACCCAGCCAACGGGAAACUGCCUGUGAAUGUUUCUAUGCAUUAUUCUUUCGUGUGUAGUUUAACUUGAACUUCUGGUACCGUCUUCUAUAUUUUUGUUUCCAUGUUCCUUCAUUUGUUUUCUAACACAUUGACUUUUGUUUUGUAUGCAGUGGAAGACACAGGCUGAGGUUGUGUUCUUUAGGCGUAUCGAACGUCCUGUUCUUACUAUGCCUCGUGCCACCGGCCUAAGGAGUGGAACUUCCCCAAGAUUUGAAUUCUCCCGGGAUGUCAAUACUGGUGCCCCCCUGUAGAUCCAGGAGGUUCUUCUGCCCGUGUGAGUGCUGCAGGUGGCGUGUCUUCUGAGGGUUUGUUUGAUGCUGCCAAUCUUUCCCUGGUUAGGAUUGACGGUCUUCUUAAAACUGUUUGUGGGGAGAUGGCCCGUGUUCAGACAACUGUUGAGCGUCUUAGUUGCAUGGAUGGGAUUCUUCCUCCCAGUCAUGGUUUUGAUGCUGAGUCUUUGAAGGAUGUUUUGUCAAUUGAAGCUAGAUUUCUUGAUGAGCUUCGUCAGAGCACUUCCCACCUCCGGACUAGCUUUGGGUUGUUCAAGGAAACGCAAGAUGCUCGUCGCAAGCCUUUUGAAGAAGAGGCUAGUGUUGUUGUCAGACAGAUUCAGAGGCAAGAGUCUGUUCGUUUGGUUCGUGAAGGAGGCCACGCGGAGCAUACUGAAGUGGUUUGUUUUUGUUGACUUUUUGAUAGUUCUUUGCAUUAAUGUUCAUCGUUAGCUUUCAGUUAUUACUGAUUUUAGUCAUAGGUGACCCUUAUUGAUUUCAUGUGUCCUGAACUUCUUCUUUUUAGUAUUAGUGUUUCCUAGGUGAGCUUCUCUGUUUACAGUGUCUGAACUUCAAGGGCUACAACAACUUAACUUCUGGGAUUUCCAUAACUGGCACUUUUUGCUCCCUUUUUGUAUUAUAGUAGUUUGAUAUCUGACCUUAUAUGGUUACUGUAUUUGGACUUCCAUUAUGUGUUAGUGGUCAUAGCUGACCUUCUUUAAUUAUGUAAUCUGAACUUCUGCUGAUUAGGCAUUUGUGUUCUACAUGAUUUUUUGUAGGUUGUUGAUGAUGGUGCUAGGGUUGAGGAGGAUGUUUUACGUGAAAGAGCAACUGCCCCUGUGCAUGAACCUGCUCCCGUGAGUGACGUAUUAGUUGAUGAGGUUCAUGGCAGUGAUAAUAAAGUACAAUUUUUCUUGUCCAUUUGUCUCAUUUUUUAUUUUACUUGUUUGUGCAUUUUAUCACUACUAGCAAAAAGGCCCGUGCGUUGCUACGGGGAUGAAAAAACUGUGUGGCCCUCAAUACACCCACAGGUCCACACCCUUUGUUUAACACAGGCCCCACCCCUGUCAUGGCCUAUCCUCCUUCCCGCCAUCACAUACAAUGGUUGUAGCAUCCGAUACGAAGUCAUGCUUCACAACAGAGCAAAGCAAAAACUGUUAGAAUUGAUUGAGUUGCAAAAGGGCAUACAAUAUUCUACCCCGUGUUUCGCUAUGGGAUAAAUGCAAAUUGCCAUGUACUAGGUUGGCGGGUUUACUCUCCUUUUAGUUCAGCAACCCUAGUCGCACCCUCCAUCAUUGAUGAAUCCCCCUCCCUACGCCCACGCUUCCCUCCCGGCCCAUUUACGUCGUCUAGUUACAUGCCAUCUCCCCUCAAUCCCCUUGCCCCGCCUAACCACUUAGAUUUUUAGCCGCAAUCACAUGAUCAAUUUUCUGUGUUGUCUUUCUUCGCCUGCCUNNNNNNNNNNNNNNNNNNNNNNNNNNNNNNNNNNNNNNNNNNNNNNNNNNNNNNNNNNNNNNNNNNNNNNNNNNNNNNNNNNNNNNNNNNNNNNNNNNNNNNNNNNNNNNNNNNNNNNNNNNNNNNNNNNNNNNNNNNNNNNNNNNNNNNNNNNNNNNNNNNNNNNNNNNNNNNNNNNNNNNNNNNNNNNNNNNNNNNNNNNNNNNNNNNNNNNNNNNNNNNNNNNNNNNNNNNNNNNNNNNNNNNNNNNNNNNNNNNNNNNNNNNNNNNNNNNNNNNNNNNNNNNNNNNNNNNNNNNNNNNNNNNNNNNNNNNNNNNNNNNNNNNNNNNNNNNNNNNNNNNNNNNNNNNNNNNNNNNNNNNNNNNNNNNNNNNNNNNNNNNNNNNNNNNNNNNNNNNNNNNNNNNNNNNNNNNNNNNNNNNNNNNNNNNNNNNNNNNNNNNNNNNNCAAGGAACUCUCGCCAACUACUGAAAUCCAUGCCAUAUCUUCUUUUCCUCCUCACUGAUGCCACGGGCACCACAUAUCACAUGGUUGCACGGGGCAGAGCAUUAUGGAAGCUACUUGAUGCACAUGCAUCAUGGUAGAAUUAUUUUUCCAGCAACGUUUAGGUUCUGUAAUAAGCCUGUGCACCAGGGUAAGUUGAUUCUUGUGCAUUAGGGUGCAGAAAUUUUGCGGCAGCGAGCGAGCCAUAGACUCGGUUCAAAGGGCCUUUUUGACAGGUUUGGUUGUGGUGCCACGUCGACCUUUUGUGCUGGAGGCUAUGGGCCUCUUUUGGCAGAAGGACCUAUAAGCUAAUUUAUAUGCCUAAAAAAAGAAAGCUAAUUGUUGUGGGAAGCUCGCUUUCGGUCUGGAUUUCGGGCGCCAUAUGUGGCAUCUCAACCCCCGAGACCUCCAUUGUAUCCCUAUGAAUAUUGUUGAUUAGUAAGUGUGUUAAGACUAAAAAAGCUAAGGCCUUGAAUAAUCGCAUCUUAUCGCUCAUGAGCCGCGGCACAGGCUAUGCCGCUAGCCGGCUAAGCGAACAGCUAGGAUUCACAUGAGACAUGAUUUCACCAUCAAUGGAUAGACGAUGGUGGACAGUCGGCCGUCCCCGCCUAAUGCGGCGAUGCUGUGCCCGUGGACACAGACUCGGCAGUCAUCCAGCAUGCUUACCUGAGGUAAAAAGGGUACCGUGAAUUAAAAUUACCUGAUUUUCAGUUAUAUGAUUACUACGAAAAUUGUUGUUCUAGGUUACCAACUAUUGUUCUUUUUUUACAUUUCCUCAUGUGUAAUUUUUAUUUAGGCAUGUUUGCAUUUAUUUGGAUAAGUUUCUUGUUGGAAGAAAAGCACCGUCAGAAGACAUGAAUUGACAAGAGGAAAUUCAGUAUGAUCCAGGCAAGUGAAAGUUGAUAGAAAAUUACGUCCUAAUUUAAAAAGGUGUGAUAAUAAAAUAUUAUUUGAUUAAUAGACAUUGUCAAGCAGGAGAAAUUUAUUUUAUAUAUUCAGAGUUUAGGACUAAAAGGUCCAAUCCUCAUUAGUUUGAUGAGCUUGGGACAAAAUUUAACAUUGACUAAUUGGUUGUAUUUCGUGGCUUCGAGGAAGCGAAUAUACUAACAUGUAACGAUGCAAAUACUUAGCUACGUAAAUACUUUUAUUUGUCCAUUCUACUAUGUUCCACUUGAAAAAUUCAAUUUUGUUUAUAUUUGGUAGAUUAUUGAACCUUGGUGUUAUAUGAGUAUUUUGGACUUUGAUAAUCCAGAAGAUUUUUUUCAAGUAAUCUGUAUUUUUGUAUAAUAACAUAUAUUUUUUUACGAAAUACACUUUUAUUUAGCACAUUGCUGGUUAAAAAAAUUACGCCAUAUUAUAUUGAUGCAUCAGGGUGACUUUAGUUCUGGCUCCGCCCCUUAGUCCACGGUCGGCUACCACAGAAAAGCAGCAGCAGCACUGCAGUACACAGCCGGCCUCCCCAUCUACCACGGCCAGCAGCGGCAGCACACAACCGGCCUCCGCAUCUACCACGGCCAGCGGCGGCGGCACACAAACCACAAACUCCCCAAAACGGGCCUCCCUCUCUAUUUCUCUCUCACAAAUCGCGAUAGCAGGAGAUAAAUCACCCUAGUCAGAUAAAACAAAAGUCUGACUGACGAACCCGUGUAGACACAAACAAAAUAAGGAGAGUUGCAUACACCCAUGAGCAUCGAUAUCACUGUUGAGCAUUUACUAAAUUUAUACACGUGGAAGAAGUGGUAGACCAUGCUGGUCGCGCGCGCGUCCCAGCGCUUUGGCUCUGCUGAGUGCUGACCACACUAUGCUCGCUCACGCCCUGUCGUUUUUGGCAUCGCGGUCGAUGCCGCUACCCACUGCGUUGACCAAAAACCUUCAAAAAAAAA
RNAcentral lists this long non-coding RNA (12332 nucleotides) under Triticum aestivum (bread wheat). Its description in RNAcentral is "long non-coding RNA (TAES_LNC018195)". The record is from RNAcentral. Lineage: Eukaryota; Viridiplantae; Streptophyta; Magnoliopsida; Poales; Poaceae.